Molecule: ribosomal RNA, 253 nt
Filed under: uncultured bacterium
Lineage: Bacteria
Description: partial 16S ribosomal RNA
Rfam family: Bacterial small subunit ribosomal RNA
Source: RNAcentral
UACGGAGGAUGCAAGCGUUAUCCGGAAUGAUUGGGCGUAAAGCGUCCGCAGGUGGCAAUGUAAGUCUGCUGUUAAAGAGUGAGGCUCAACCUCAUAAGAGCAGUGGAAACUACAUAGCUAGAGUGCGUUCGGGGCAAAGGGAAUUCCUGGUGUAGCGGUGAAAUGUGUUGAUAUCAGGAGGAACACCCAUGGCGAAGGCAGCAAACUGGGCAUUAACUGACGCUGAGGCGCGAAAGCGUGGGUAGCAAACAGG